Pteropus alecto (black flying fox) is the source of this 561-nucleotide long non-coding RNA. RefSeq lists it as uncharacterized. NCBI's taxonomy places the organism in Eukaryota, Metazoa, Chordata, Mammalia, Chiroptera, Pteropodidae. The record is from RefSeq and is a predicted model, not a curated record. The transcript has 2 exons.
AAAAGGAGAAAAAAAUACCAAAUUAUCAGUUGGUCUCCUCCUGAAAACUGUUAACAGGAAUUCAAGAAAAAUUUUGAUUUAUUUUUGAAGGAAGCUUUGCUGGGGAGAAACUCAUUUACAAACCAUUUGAAGAUAAUGGAGCUAUAUGCAACUCAUUGUAGUCAUUUGUUAAGAAGUACAGCUAUCAUGGGCCUCUUAAAGAAGGAGAGUUUCGACCUAGUGAAGAUUGACGGCAUAGAUCGCUGUCCUUUCCUGAUAGCUGAGACACUUGGAAGGCCGUUUGUGACCAUCCGUCCCAUCCCAUUUGGAGUUAUGAAUUUUGGGCUGCCUGAGGCUGUGUCUUAUGUUCCAGCAUUCUACUCCUCCCUCACAGAUACAUGGAUCUUUGGAACCGAGUGAAGGCCAGUGUUAGCUCAUCUUCAAUUGAAAGCAGAGCUGUGGAUUAUUAAUUCUGACUUUGCCCUUGAUUUUGCCCGUCCCCUGCUUCCUAACACAGUUUAUAUUGGAGGUUUAAUUAAUACCUCAAAUAAAACUUUAGCGCUCCAUUUGGACGUGAGGAAA